Phalacrocorax carbo (great cormorant) is the source of this 1620-nucleotide non-coding RNA. The record is from RefSeq and is a predicted model, not a curated record. NCBI's taxonomy places the organism in Eukaryota, Metazoa, Chordata, Aves, Suliformes, Phalacrocoracidae.
UUUUGCAGAUCUUGAGUUAAAAUUAUACAGUGGAAUACUUCAUGAGCCUUUCAAAUCACGUGUAUAGCGCUAUGCUUUUGGACAGCCAUUUGACUCAUGGGUUUUUUAGUUCAUAAUUUAUAAUGUUCUAAUAUCUAUCACAUUUAAAAAAUAAAAAUAAAUUAAAAAACCAAGACUUGGAUCAUGAGACUUGUUAAAUCAGUUUGGCAAAAGAACUGGAACUAGAAUUAACUCACAUCAGAAAUGGGCUACUUAAGGGUAGUUUUACAUUGCCUUCCUGUCAGUUGUAGGGGAUCUUUUUGCUUUUGUGUGCAAGAAUUUGAUGGCUUUUUGUUCUGUCGAGGCCACAAAUUUCAGCAUUUCCUUCAGGAUGUCUUCAAUCAGAAUUGUAGUACUCAAUUUAGGGAUGAUUCUCGUGUUACAAGGCUAAGAAGAAUUUUAAGUCACUGCAGUUGGUGCUUGCCGAAAUAACUUUGGUACUUUGAGAUCUGUACCAAAAGAAGGUGUUAUUUGAAGCAGGUGUAUUAGUCUAACACCAUUCUUGUCCCCAUAAUAUAAUACUGAAAAUGUCAAUUUGUGCACUAAUUUAUGGACUAGUACAAGGUAAAAGACUUGAACUGGAGCAGCUUUGUCAUUUGAAACUGUGCUGAAGAAUCACAGAAUGGUAGGGGUUGGAAGGGACCUCUAGAGAUCAUCUUGUCCAAACCCCUGCCUGUGCAGGGACACCUAGAGCAGGGGGCACAGGACUGCAUCCAGGCAGGUUUUGAAUGUCUCCAGGGAAGGAGACCCCACAGCCUCUCUGGGCAGCCUGUUCCACUGCUCUGUCACCCUCACAGUAAAGAAGUUUCUGCUCAUAUUCAAGUGGAACUUCCUGUGUUCCAACUUGUGCCCAUUGACCCUUGUCCUGUCAUUGGGCUCCACUGAAAAGAGCCUAGUCCCAACAUCCUGACACCCACCCUUUAGGUGUUUAUAGGUAUUGAUGAGACCCCCCCUCAGUCUCCUCCAGGCUGAGCAAACCCAAGUCUCUCAGCCUUUCCUCAUAAGGGAGAUGCUCUCCAGUCCCCUGAUCAUCUUGGUAGCUCUCUGCUGGACUUGUUCAAGCAGUUCCAUGUCCUUCUUAAACUGGGGGGCCCAAAACUGGACACAACACUCUAAAUGUGGUCUCACUAGGGCAGAGUAGAGGGGGAGGAUAACCUCCCUCGACAUGCGGGCCACACUCCUUUUAAUACAGCGCAUAAGUAGUAGUGGAAUAGAGGCAGUGAAUAAUGUGGUAGAGGUAAAGAGGUGGUGCUGGCAGCAGUAGUAGAAGUAGUGAAUGAUGUAGUAAUAAUAUGUAUUCUUUUUCUGAGUAUUCAUCACUAGUGGUUGCAUUCUGUAGGUAAAUCAUAUGUUUGUUGCAUUAAUAUUGUCACUGACAUGUCACAAGGCAUGUCUGAAGAACACGGCUGUUGCAGUCUUGGAGCACCAUGUCUUUGAUGACUAGAAGGUGAUGGAGGUGCUUUUGCUAAAUUUGAACUUUUUGUGCAGGAUUAUUUUCUCCUGGGACGUUUUUUGUUUCAUUUUUGGUUUUACUGUAAAUAAUUCUGCAGAAGUUAAAAGCAAAUUAAAUAUUUAUUCCUU